CGAGUUGGUCAGGCAAUCGCUGGUUUAUUGAAGCCCUUAACCGUUUUUAACGACCUAGUGGGACAAGUAAACGGGAGGAAAGUCCGAGCUACAUAGGGCAGAGUGCCGGAUAACGUCCGGGAGGCGUGAGCCUACGACAAGUGCAACAGAGAGCAGACCGCCGAUAAUAGAUGUCGGUAAGGGUGAAAGGGUGCGGUAAGAGCGCACCGUGCCGUCGGUAACGAUCGGCAGCAAGGUAAACUCCACUCGUAGCAAGACCAAAUAGGAACUCAAUGAGUGGCCCGCUCAGAGUUCGGGUAGGUUGCUUGAGCGUAUAUGCAAAUAUACGCCUAGAUGAAUGAUUGUCCACGACAGAACUCGGCUUAUCGACCAACUCAACUU
This is an RNase P RNA of 381 nucleotides. It matches the Rfam family "Bacterial RNase P class A". Rfam says of the family: Ribonuclease P (RNase P) is a ubiquitous endoribonuclease, found in archaea, bacteria and eukarya as well as chloroplasts and mitochondria.